This 253-nucleotide ribosomal RNA is filed under the name uncultured bacterium. RNAcentral's name for it is "partial 16S ribosomal RNA". It matches the Rfam family "Bacterial small subunit ribosomal RNA", at positions 524 to 776 of the family's 1533-position model. The record is from RNAcentral.
UACGGAGGGGGCUAGCGUUGUUCGGAAUUACUGGGCGUAAAGCGCACGUAGGCGGAUCAGUAAGUUAGAGGUGAAAGCCCAGGGCUCAACCCUGGAACUGCCUUUGAUACUGCUGGUCUGGAGGUCGAGAGAGGUGAGUGGAAUUCCGAGUGUAGAGGUGAAAUUCGUAGAUAUUCGGAGGAACACCAGUGGCGAAGGCGGCUCACUGGCUCGAUACUGACGCUGAGGUGCGAAAGCGUGGGGAGCAAACAGG